Long non-coding RNA from Panicum virgatum (switchgrass), 493 nucleotides. RefSeq lists it as uncharacterized. NCBI's taxonomy places the organism in Eukaryota, Viridiplantae, Streptophyta, Magnoliopsida, Poales, Poaceae. The transcript is spliced from 4 exons. The record is from RefSeq and is a predicted model, not a curated record.
AGACUUGCAUGGCUGCAUCUCUCCUCAAGCACGAGCAUCCCUGAGGUUGUAGCAACAAUUUCUAUGUCGUUUUCGUCAAUAACCAGACGCUAUUCCCCUUAUCUACAAGUUUCAGGUGUUUUUGGCAGAUGAGAUUGGCAGCUUUAAGAAGAUGCGUCAUGUAUUUUGAAAUCCAGAGAAAGAUAAUAAGCAAAUCAAUUUUUAAAGAUGAUUUUGUCAACACAUCACGCCAUGAUUCAAAGGAUAAAGCUGCAGCGUGCAAAUGGGUACUCAAAGAAGUGCGUCAGAUCUUGAAAAGUUAAACAGUAGUUGACAGCAGUAUGCCAGUAUAUCGGCCAUUUCAUUUUUAUUGUAUUGGGAAAACGUGUCAUCAUGGUUCCAGCUGGCUGUAGUGUAUGAACAAUUGCGUCGUGUUGAUGUAUGCACAAUAUAAUGUAUUAAAUUUUGAAUGAAAUUGGUUCAUAGCUUUAAUGAAUUGCAAUUUGUUUUUUUA